GUUAAGUUACUCUCCUGAAUCCUCACCUGAGCCACUCCUAAUUUUCACCAUCCAUUUCUUCUUUUUAACCGCGAUUCAAACAGUACGGUGGGGGGUGAGACGUCAGUGUCCAUGUUCUGCCGACUGCCAAUCUAAUCAAAACUAAUUAAAUAUUUUCAAAGUAUUUAUUAGAUUAACCUCCAAGGAAAACAACAUUCCUGUCCUUUCACCCUAUACUACACGCAAUUAUCUAUUAAUCAACUCCAAAUCAGACGGAUUAGAAAAAUUUUUUACACCUACCUCCAACCCAACUUCAGAAAUUCAAAUCACAGGGUCAGUAAAGUGCCGCUAUCAUGGAUUAAACCGCAGAUUUUCCAACUAACCACUUCAUUUCACCUUCUCCGCCACUUUACACUGGAACAGCAAUCGCCCAUAUAUACUGCCAAUCCAUAUCCUAUACGUUCGUUCACAGCUACAUUUUGGAGCAAAUUCUGGGCUCGUUCUUCAGCGAAAACCAGAUUCCGAUAGAUCUGGUUUUCCAGCACGCCACUUGCAUUGAAAUUUGAAAUGCUCAUUGAUUUCGCUGCUUAAAUCUGCUGGAUUGUUUUCCUAGUAUUAGUGCUUGCAGCUGGGGCCCAAAGAAUGGCGAUCUCUAGUCCUAUUACUCCUGGU
This 651-nucleotide unclassified non-coding RNA is filed under the name Hevea brasiliensis (rubber tree). Lineage: Eukaryota; Viridiplantae; Streptophyta; Magnoliopsida; Malpighiales; Euphorbiaceae. The record is from RNAcentral.